GGAGAUGUAGUUCAAGUGACUAGAGUGCUUGCCUGGGAAGCACAAGGCUCUGAGUUCAAAACUCAGUACCACCU
Molecule: transfer RNA, 74 nt
Filed under: Dipodomys ordii (Ord's kangaroo rat)
Lineage: Eukaryota; Metazoa; Chordata; Mammalia; Rodentia; Heteromyidae
Rfam family: tRNA
About the family: Transfer RNA (tRNA) molecules are approximately 80 nucleotides in length. Their secondary structure includes four short double-helical elements and three loops (D, anti-codon, and T loops).
Source: Rfam by way of RNAcentral